This is a long non-coding RNA of Sarcophilus harrisii (Tasmanian devil), 1086 nucleotides long. RefSeq lists it as uncharacterized. NCBI's taxonomy places the organism in Eukaryota, Metazoa, Chordata, Mammalia, Dasyuromorphia, Dasyuridae. The record is from RefSeq and is a predicted model, not a curated record. The transcript is spliced from 4 exons.
GGGGGAAUUGUCUGGAAGGCGCAUGAUGAUUGGUCAAAAGCCGCCCGUGAGGCGGGACUUCCAGGAGGCGCUCAGGAAUUGGCCGAGAGGCGCGUGCGCAGAUCUGAGGGCCGGCGGAAGGUUUAAACUUUGUACAAGUUUUGUGGGCUGUUGGGCUGUCAGUGUCCCCUUGUAAGAAUUCUCAGUAUUUCCUUAGGGGACCCGGGUGAGGAGGAGGGGCGCCGAUCUCGCCGGAACUGUUUUUGCAUUUGACUUAAUUCCUCCCUACAUCCUCUCCCACUUCCCGGGGGAAGCAGGUAUGUUUGCCGAGGCUCUAUCCUAGCUCUAGAACCGAAAGGGGUCUCAAAAAUCCCCGAUCCCUCUUCUCGUUUUCCCGGGGAAAGACCUCAGUGCCCUUAUUUGUAAAACGGGCAUUACACUCGUUUACUUGUCUUCCACUGUAGUCAGGAUUAAAUAGAAUAACGUAAAGCAUAUAUCUACUUACGGGUGAACGAUCACUGUUAAUAUCUAGUUCAAUUCUCUCAUAUUUUGACUAAUUAUCGUUUUCUACCAUUUCCGGAUAUAUCCUCCUUCUCCCUCCGGAGCCGAUCCCAUUACAAACUCACAUAUUCAAGUUCCUGAUUAUAUAUAAAUCCUGCGUGUAUUUUGAUAUCUGGUGCAGCUUUCUGAGCCCAUGUUCCCGCCCCUCUGCAAGAAAGAGAAGUUGCAUUUUCUCAGUCCUUCGGUCUUUGACAUCAAAUCCAGUGAUCUUUCCACUUUGGCAAUGUUGCCCAUCUAUUUUUGGUAACUGGAAGCAUUCAACUUUUCCUUUUGGUUCCACUGUUAUUAUUGGUUGCUGUCUUCUUGAUAGGGACUCAUUUUCCCCCAGGAUAAGGUUCCUUUGAGGCCAUGUCUGGGACUCCCUUCAGAUCCUGCUUUAGGUCUAACUACAGAGAGAAGUUGAACUUGCUUUUAGAGAAAGAUGCUUCCUUUUCAUUUUACUCAGAACUUCCCAAGACCCCAUCUAACAAGAUCCUUAUUGAUUCUGGAAACCUCAGUUCUUUGACAGGAGAAACUCCAAAGUGUUGCCUUGACUUGUCAAAUGUU